RNAcentral lists this transfer RNA (70 nucleotides) under Loxodonta africana (African savanna elephant). It matches the Rfam family "tRNA". From Rfam's summary of the family: Transfer RNA (tRNA) molecules are approximately 80 nucleotides in length. Their secondary structure includes four short double-helical elements and three loops (D, anti-codon, and T loops). The record is from Rfam by way of RNAcentral. Lineage: Eukaryota; Metazoa; Chordata; Mammalia; Proboscidea; Elephantidae.
GCAUUGGUGGCUCGGGGUAGAAUUCUUGCCUCCCAUGUGGAAGACCUAGGUUCAAUCCCUGGCCAAUGCA